GACAGAGGUGCCAAGCGUUAGGCGGAAUCACUGGGCUUAAAGGGCGCGUAGGCGGAUGGUCAAGUCGGGGGUGAAAUCUUUCAGCUUAACUGGAAAAGUGCCUUCGAUACUGAUCGUCUCGAGGGAGGUAGGGGCAUGUGGAACUUCCGGUGGAGCGGUGAAAUGCGUAGAUAUCGGAAGGAACGCCGGUGGCGAAAGCGACGUGCUGGACCUCUUCUGACGCUGAGGCGCGAAAGCUAGGGGAGCAAACGGG
Molecule: ribosomal RNA, 253 nt
Filed under: uncultured bacterium
Lineage: Bacteria
Description: partial 16S ribosomal RNA
Rfam family: Bacterial small subunit ribosomal RNA
Source: RNAcentral